CCCCCAACCCUUCGCCUUCUCGCUGCCUCUGCCCCCGAUUCCGUCCCCCCUUCAUCCCUCCCUCCACCCCCAUCGGUUUAUUGAUCUCUUGUUACGUUGUUCUUCGAGAUCUUGAUCGCGACCGUGAACGGAUGGAUGCUCUGCGGGACUCUUGGCUGAUGCGGAGCUAUUGUGACGACCUUUAUGGUGUGCUAUGCUCUUACAUCAUUCAUUUCAGGCUAUUUAAGUGGUGGACUUUAUGCACGGAAUUGG
Molecule: long non-coding RNA, 252 nt
Organism: Musa acuminata AAA Group (dessert banana)
Lineage: Eukaryota; Viridiplantae; Streptophyta; Magnoliopsida; Zingiberales; Musaceae
Exons: 2
Source: RefSeq, a predicted model, not a curated record